This is a long non-coding RNA of Arachis duranensis, 1331 nucleotides long. RefSeq lists it as uncharacterized. The record is from RefSeq and is a predicted model, not a curated record. Lineage: Eukaryota; Viridiplantae; Streptophyta; Magnoliopsida; Fabales; Fabaceae. The transcript is spliced from 3 exons.
ACCCUAAUUUACCGCUUUCCUCAGCCUCUGAAACACGCAGUCCCACCCCCUUUCUUCCUAAACCUAACAUAGAAAUGGAAAGAAAAAUCAGACAAGGAAAGAAAGGAAAUCAGAUUGUGAUCUAGGGAAGGAGCGAAGGGAGACGCCGUGGCCACGUAGCUGCCAUCCCGUUGCCCACACCGUCGCAAGGAAAGACCAGAGCCGAGGUAGAGAGUAGCGCCCAGAGGGAGAGAGGCCGACAUCAUCGUCGUUCGUACUCGUCGGAGGAAGCUGUCGCAAGCCUCUUCGCCAUCAUCGUCGUCAUCAUCCUCGUGAACUGUAGGGCCGUGCAGUCCAGCCACCGUGACCUUCGCGGAGCCCGCGUUAUUACCGCCUUUGAGAUCGUCAUCGUCACUGUCACUGGAGGUCUGUGAAGAGAGGGAAGAUGCCGCAGCCGUGGCACUGUCACACCAUCACCGCUGUUACCCUGGAGCUUGCCGUUGUCAUCAAGCAGGACGGAGAUGAGAACGACGCGAGGGAGAGAUUGUGCGCGCCUGAGGAGCUGCCACCGUCCUUAUUGUUGCUGCCAUGGUCGCCAGUGAGUCGUGCACCGCCAUAAGAGUUCAAAACAGCACCAGCCUUCUUGUUCUGAUUCUGAUUCUCCUAUUCUUGAACCUAUAAGCUUUAAUACUUACUCUGCUUCCAUUUUAUUUCUUAGACUUUUUCUAUUAUGAGUAAGGAAAACCUAUGUCUCUAUUUAACACUGCUGCUAUGCCUUCCCUGCUUGCUGAUGGAACUAUCAUAGGUGAUAGUAUUAAUGAUACUGAAGAACGGUUAGAGUUGCUGCUUCUUCUGAGAUUAAUAAAGAGGGGAUCAUCGCGUUUAAAUUCAACGGGUUCAACUAACUGAGACACUGCAGAGCAGUCAUGGUUUAACGAGCUUGAUCAAAAUUUUGUUGCAACAAGUUAAUCCUGAUAUGAGUGCAGAACAAGUGCAAGUAAUGAUAGAAGCUGGCCAACAUCUCCGCCUGAUGCAAGUAGUGCACCAAAUGAUGCGAGACAAAGCAUUCCUCCUUCACUGGGAUUGAACCAUGUGUCAAAAGAUAUGGAACAAGUUCUGAGCUUUCAAAUGGUAAAGUGGCUGAAACAAAAGUUUUCAAGUGUUGAGAAGAAAGAAUAGCAAUACCAGAAACAAUCUAUCCUAGCAAAGUCUAAGUUGUAUUGCUCUCACACCUGUGGAACAAUUCUGCUAAUAGUGUCUAUUUAGUGAUAGUGUAUAUAUCACUGUAUAAAACUAAGAUUGAGACAAGUGUAUUUACUCAACUAUAUUGAUAUGUUAGCUGGUUACUUUAA